GGGAAGCCGGUGGAAAUCCGGCGCUGACCCGCAACCGUGAGGACGGCCCCUGCGCACCGCGCCCCUGGCCCGGCGUGGACGGCCGUACGAGCCGGAGCACC
This 101-nucleotide non-coding RNA is filed under the name Streptomyces decoyicus. Lineage: Bacteria; Bacillati; Actinomycetota; Actinomycetes; Kitasatosporales; Streptomycetaceae. The record is from RNAcentral.